GCCCGUUUAGCUCAGUGGUAGAGCGCGCCACUCGUACAAAUGUUUGAUAUGGUGAGGUCGGUUGUUCAAUCCAGCCAAUGGGCA
Non-coding RNA from Pleurotus ostreatoroseus, 84 nucleotides. The record is from the annotation of a GenBank genome assembly. NCBI's taxonomy places the organism in Eukaryota, Fungi, Basidiomycota, Agaricomycetes, Agaricales, Pleurotaceae.